Molecule: long non-coding RNA, 468 nt
Filed under: Phoenix dactylifera (date palm)
Lineage: Eukaryota; Viridiplantae; Streptophyta; Magnoliopsida; Arecales; Arecaceae
Description: long non-coding RNA (PDAC_LNC023107)
Source: RNAcentral
UAUAUUAUGAAAAUUUUGUGAUUUGCACUACUACCUUGUUUAAAUUGCAUACAUAUUAUGCCAUGAUGAUUAUUAGAUAAACAUGCAUGUCAGCUUCUCAAACCCUGAUUUACAUGUUUAGCCUACUGGUUGAUCCGGUAGGAUUAUGCAGGAUUACUUACUGAGCCGUGUAGCUCACAUCUGUUUAUGCUUCGUUUUCUUUCAGACCCUCAUCAGUGAUCGCCACCAGAUAUAUUUUUAUUUUGUUACAGAGCUUCGUAUUUUUGGAGAAGCUUAUAUACUUUUGUACAUUUGAAUAGCAUAGAAGUUCUGUAUUUUUGGUUUCAAACUUGAAGGUGGUACUGUAAAACUUUUAAUAUAUAUAUAUAUAUAAGUUUUAAUCCUUUUGGCUACCUGUUACCCCUGUAUGAGGCUGCGUGCUACUGUGGGCGAUAGUCGGCAAUAGCACGGCCGUGUCACGGAUCCGGG